This 301-nucleotide ribosomal RNA is filed under the name uncultured bacterium. RNAcentral describes it as "partial 16S ribosomal RNA". It matches the Rfam family "Bacterial small subunit ribosomal RNA", at positions 509 to 807 of the family's 1533-position model. The record is from RNAcentral.
CAGCAGCCACGGUAAAACGAAGGGGGCUAGCGUUGUUCGGAUUUACUGGGCGUAAAGCGCACGUAGGCGGACUUUUAAGUCAGGGGUGAAAUCCCGGGGCUCAACCCCGGAACUGCCUUUGAUACUGGAAGUCUUGAGUAUGGUAGAGGUGAGUGGAAUUCCGAGUGUAGAGGUGAAAUUCGUAGAUAUUCGCAGGAACACCAGUGGCGAAGGCGGCUCACUGGCUCGAUACUGACGCUGAGGUGCGAAAGCGUGGGGAGCAAACAGGAUUAGAUACCCCCGUAGUCCCUGUCUCUUAUAC